GAGGGGCGUACAACACAAAAAGACCUGCUAAGUCUUCCUACUGUGGUUAACCCCCCAGGCCCCUU
Molecule: transfer RNA, 65 nt
Filed under: Lepidophyma flavimaculatum (yellow-spotted night lizard)
Lineage: Eukaryota; Metazoa; Chordata; Lepidosauria; Squamata; Xantusiidae
Description: tRNA-Ser specifying AGY codons
Source: RNAcentral